GUAGGGAAUAUUGGGCAAUGGAGGCAACUCUGACCCAGCCAUGCCGCGUGCAGGAUGACGGCCCUCUGGGUUGUAAACUGCUUUUAUACGGGAAGAAAAAAUACUACGUGUAGUAUACUGACGGUACCGUAAGAAUAAGGAUCGGCUAACUCCGUGCCAGCAGCCGCGGUAAUACGGAGGAUCCAAGCGUUGUCCGGAUUUAUUGGGUUUAAAGGGUGCGUAGGCGGAUCUUUAAGUCAGUGGUGAAAGCCUGCAGCUUAACUGUAGAAUUGCCAUUGAGACUGAAGAGCUUGAAUGUGGUGAAAGUAGGCGGAAUGUAUCAUGUAGCGGUGAAAUGCUUAGAUAUGAUACAGAACACCGAUAGCGAAGGCAGCUUGCUGAACCAUUAUUGACGCUGAGGCACGAAAGCGUGGGGAGCGAACAGGAUUAGAUACCCGUGUAGUCC
RNAcentral lists this ribosomal RNA (445 nucleotides) under uncultured bacterium. Its description in RNAcentral is "partial 16S ribosomal RNA". It matches the Rfam family "Bacterial small subunit ribosomal RNA", at positions 354 to 796 of the family's 1533-position model. The record is from RNAcentral.